RNAcentral lists this ribosomal RNA (252 nucleotides) under uncultured bacterium. Its description in RNAcentral is "partial 16S ribosomal RNA". It matches the Rfam family "Bacterial small subunit ribosomal RNA", at positions 524 to 776 of the family's 1533-position model. The record is from RNAcentral.
UACGAACUGUGCAAACGUUAUUCGGAUUCACUGGGCUUAAAGGGUGCGUAGGCGGCGCAGAAAGUUGGGUGUGAAAUCCCUCGGCUCAACCGAGGAACUGCGCCCAAAACUACUGUGCUUGAGGAAGAUAGAGGUAAGCGGAACUUACGGUGGAGCGGUGAAAUGCGUUGAUAUCGUAAGGAACACCUGUGGCGAAAGCGGCUUACUGGGUCUUUCUGACGCUGAUGCACGAAAGCCAGGGGAGCAAACGGG